Molecule: ribosomal RNA, 301 nt
Filed under: uncultured bacterium
Lineage: Bacteria
Description: partial 16S ribosomal RNA
Rfam family: Bacterial small subunit ribosomal RNA
Source: RNAcentral
CAGCAGCCGCGGUAAUACGUAGGGCGCAAGCGUUAUCCGGAAUUAUUGGGCGUAAAGAGCUCGUAGGCGGUUUGUCGCGUCUGCCGUGAAAGUCCGGGGCUCAACCCCGGAUCUGCGGUGGGUACGGGCAGACUAGAGUGAUGUAGGGGAGACUGGAAUUCCUGGUGUAGCGGUGAAAUGCGCAGAUAUCAGGAGGAACACCGAUGGCGAAGGCAGGUCUCUGGGCAUUAACUGACGCUGAGGAGCGAAAGCAUGGGGAGCGAACGGGAUUAGAUACCCGCGUAGUCCCUGUCUCUUAUAC